AACGAACGCUGGCGGCAGGCCUAACACAUGCAAGUCGAGCGAGGACUUCGGUCCUAGCGGCGGACGGGUGAGUAACGCGUGGGAACGUGCCCUUUGCUUCGGAAUAGCCCUGGGAAACUGGGAGUAAUACCGGAUGAGCCCUUUGGGGGAAAGAUUUAUCGGCGAAGGAUCGGCCCGCGUUGGAUUAGGUAGUUGGUGGGGUAAUGGCCUACCAAGCCGACGAUCCAUAGCUGGUUUGAGAGGAUGAUCAGCCGCACUGGGACUGAGACACGGCCCAGACUCCUACGGGAAGCAGCAGUGGGGAAUCUUAGACAAUGGGGGAAACCCUGAUCUAGCCAUGCCGCGUGAGCGAUGAAGGCCUUAGGGUUGUAAAGCUCUUUCAGCUGGGAAGAUAAUGACGGUACCAGCAGAAGAAGCCCCGGCUAACUCCGUG
Molecule: ribosomal RNA, 433 nt
Filed under: uncultured bacterium
Lineage: Bacteria
Description: partial 16S ribosomal RNA
Rfam family: Bacterial small subunit ribosomal RNA
Source: RNAcentral